GUUAUCACUUGUUGGGGCUGCCAUUAAAGAGAAAACAGCUCACCCUGAAGGGUAACUGAGGCCACUUCCAGGAGGCGAGAGCAGCGGACCCUCCUCUUUGACUGCAGGGUGAGGUGGUGUGUGGGAAGGAUGCAAAACACAAGGGGUUUUGUCUUGGACUCUCCUGUCCUUUGAUUUCCUAGGUAUAGGGGAACACCCAGAAGCCCUGCCCUCCGCCCCCCACCCCCUGCGAGUUGCUUCCUCUGAUCUGUGAAUUCUGGCUUCUCCAACGUUUCUGAUAUGAUGAUUCAGGAGAAAAGUGGACUUGUCAGAGACAGGAAGGGAAGAUAAAAAUAAAAUCAAGUUAGCCAGGCCUAUGAGUUCCUGUCAUCUUAGUCAUCCCCCGCUGCCCUUCCCCGUAAAUAUCCACAAUCUUAAAAAUCCCACAGCCCUGCGCAGAGUGGGAGCCAGACUUUGGGGUCCAGGUCAAGGCCAGAGGGUGAAGGGGACAUGAUUCAGCGCUGUGGGCCUGCGGACGGAUGGGGGAAGCGGGGCCCUGCAGGGCCCCCCCAGGACGCAGGGCUGUGGGCUAUGAGUCCUGCCUCACCCUGCAGCCUGCACCGCCUCUGCUUCUCCAAGCUGGAGCCGCCGAGUGAUUGAUGGGCCCCAGCUUGAAUGGAAAGUCCAGAUUCCAGCAACACAGCUUAAGAGAUGAAGGUUGCUUGAGCAGGAAAUCCACCCAUGGCCCAAAGAGGAAAGAUCCGCUUUAAAUGCCUGGGCAUAUACUUCCAAGAACCAGAUGUGGCCUGUUCCUUACACCUCCCCGGGCUUAGAGGACAGCUUGAACUCUGCGGCUGAUGGAAUUGAGCAGAUGGGAAUGACCUGGAAUCUAACACUCUACAAUUCAGACACACCACUGUCCACUUGUCCCUCCCUUCCUGCCACUGGCCCUGCCAGCGUACCUUGUGUACUUCGCAAAGGUCACUGGCUCCUGUUUUAUGUAAUGACUGACAGGCGAUCUCGCCCAGCUCAGCAAUGUGAACAGACACCUUGCAUGGUGCCGGUGGUGGGUGCGGUUGUUUCUGGAUGUCAUGGAAGAGGCUGGAGCAUUCCAGGGCUUUCCCCAAUUGUGCCUAAAAUAAAUUGGCUCUUGAGAGGUUUCUGUGUGCCUCUGGUCUGUGCUUUGGUCAUGUUAUUUAUGCAGGACAAGAGUGAUAUAAUCCAACAUGAACGUUUUCUCCUAUUAGCAAUUUGGUCUCAUCAGUUUUGUUAAUGGGAUAACAAGAGGUGCCAGUUAUGGUGCAAAAGUCCCAUCAUGUUGGUAAUUUUCACUGUAACGUGUUAGCAAUCUGUCACUAUUUGUUUCCAGCAAUUCUGGCAAGAGUCUGCUUACAUCAGGGGCUCCAAUUUUCUCUCCACGCCACCAGGCUGUUCUCCCUUUCCCUGGCGAGGUAGCCUCCCCUAUUUCGAUCUGUCUCUGUCCAUCCGGCUGUGCCCUUGUUUCUCUGUCUCCCGUGUUUCUCUCUCUGUCCCCUCCCAGCCCUCUGAUAACCUACUGCAGUGUUUGUAUUGGAGGGAAACACUGUUCGGGAGCAGCUUGCAGUGAUAGAAUUCCAGAGCUGGAAGCUUGCAACUCUCUUCGCCCCACUUCCCCCAUUUGCCACUUGGAGAAAUGAGAGCCAGAGAGAAG
Long non-coding RNA from Pan paniscus (pygmy chimpanzee), 1669 nucleotides. NCBI's taxonomy places the organism in Eukaryota, Metazoa, Chordata, Mammalia, Primates, Hominidae. The record is from Ensembl.